AGACGACUCUCUUGGAGGGAAGCGAGUCGAAGGCGGAGGACGGGUUUUUGGGAUGCGGGCAGCGAAGAACAAGAGAAUGUGAUCGCGACGUACGCGGUGAAACGUGAAAGCCAGCGCAAGAGCACAAGAGGACAGCGUGCAUCGACGGACAUCCGAGCAAGCCCGAUUCGCCGCAUCCUGAGCCUCCUCGGUUCAACCUGCCCGUCGAACCAGAGCCACGUUGAUGACCGGUCCUUCCAAGUCCCUUCUCCCAAGGAACCCCUGCGACGGGACACCCAGAACACUCCGGGCGAGAGGUAAAUCAACCCAUCUGAAGGGCGAGGCAAAGCUACAACCAGCAGCAUCGUCCCGAAGUUGCAACCAGCGGCAUCAUCCCGAAGGAGUCGUUCAAUUGCUUUGACACCUCUUUUCAGGAAUGCUCCAUUGCUCUUGGUGGUCAACACCCAAGACACAAAACUAAAAGGGCGAGAGAUGAGACAUGCAAAAAGUAGAAGAAAAAACAAGCGACGGUUUCUGGCGCAUGCCUUUCGUCAGACCACAAAGCGAUCCGCAAGUUUAAUGUGUAUUUUUGUAAUUUAUGUUUCAUCCAGUGUUUAUGAGCAAUAAAUAUGUAGGAACAAA
Long non-coding RNA from Ixodes scapularis (black-legged tick), 621 nucleotides. RefSeq lists it as uncharacterized. NCBI's taxonomy places the organism in Eukaryota, Metazoa, Arthropoda, Arachnida, Ixodida, Ixodidae. The record is from RefSeq and is a predicted model, not a curated record. The transcript is spliced from 3 exons.